AUGAACGCUAGCGGCAGGCCUAACACAUGCAAGUCGAGGGGCAGCACAAAGAUAGUUUACUAUUUUGGUGGCGACCGGCGCACGGGUGAGUAACGCGUAUGCAACCUACCCUAUACAGGUGAAUAGCCCGGAGAAAUUCGGAUUAAUGCUCCAUAGUAUUGUUUUUUGGCAUCAUUUGGAAAAUUAAAGCUUCGGCGGUAUAAGAUGGGCAUGCGUCUGAUUAGCUAGAUGGUAAGGUAAUGGCUUACCAUGGCAACGAUCAGUAGGGGUCCUGAGAGGGUUACCCCCCACACUGGUACUGAGACACGGACCAGACUCCUACGGGAGGCAGCAGUGAGGAAUAUUGGUCAAUGGAGGCAACUCUGAACCAGCCAUCCCGCGUGCAGGAUGACGGCCCUAUGGGUUGUAAACUGCUUUUCUGCACCAAGAAAUACCCCGACGUGUUGGGGCUUGACGGUAGUGUAGGAAUAAGCACCGGCUAACUCCGUGCCAGCAGCCGCGGUAAUACGGAGGGUGCAAGCGUUAUCCGGAUUUAUUGGGUUUAAAGGGUCCGUAGGCGGGCCGAUAAGUCAGAGGGGAAAGUCUGCCGCUCAACGGUAGAACUGCCUUUGAUACUGUCGGUCUUGAGUUAUAGUGAAGUUGGCGGAAUAUGUAGUGUAGCGGUGAAAUGCAUAGAUAUUACAUAGAACACCGAUUGCGAAGGCAGCUGACUAACUAUUAACUGACGCUGAGGGACGAAAGCGUGGGGAGCGAAGAGGAUUAGAUACCUUGGUAGUCCACGCCGUAAACGAUGGAUACUAGCUGUCGUUGUCGGGAAUUUAUUCUCGGUGACUAAGCGAAAGUGAUAAGUGUCCCACCUGGGGAGUACGGUCGCAAGAUUGAAACUCAAAGGAAUUGACGGGGGCCCGCACAAGCGGUGGAGCAUGUGGUUUAAUUCGAUGAUACGCGAGGAACCUUACCAGGGCUUAAAUGUAGGAUGCAUGAUUUAGAGAUAGAUCUUUCUUCGGACUUCUUACAAGGUGCUGCAUGGUUGUCGUCAGCUCGUGCCGUGAGGUGUCAGGUUAAGUCCUAUAACGAGCGCAACCCCUAUUUUUAGUUGCUAACAGGUUAAGCUGAGGACUCUAGAGAGACUGCCUACGCAAGUAGAGAGGAAGGUGGGGAUGACGUCAAAUCAUCACGGCCCUUACGUCCUGGGCUACACACGUGCUACAAUGGUAUAGACAAUGAGCAGCCACUAUGCAACCAGGAGCGAAUCUAUAAACUAUAUCUCAGUUCGGAUCGGAGUCUGCAACUCGACUCAGUGAUGCUGGAAUCGCUAGUAAUCCGAUAUCAGCGAUGAUCCGGUGAAUACGUUCCCGGGCCUUGUACACACCGCC
This 1376-nucleotide ribosomal RNA is filed under the name uncultured prokaryote. Its description in RNAcentral is "partial 16S ribosomal RNA". It matches the Rfam family "Bacterial small subunit ribosomal RNA", at positions 29 to 1394 of the family's 1533-position model. The record is from RNAcentral.